AAACGGUAACAGGAUGUGCUUGCACAUCGCUGACGAGUGGCGGACGGGUGAGUAAUGCUUAGGGAUCUGCCUCUGUGUGGGGGAUAACUAUUGGAAACGAUAGCUAAUACCGCAUAAUGUUUACGGACCAAAGGGGGCGUUUGCUCCCGCGCAGAGAGGAACCUAAGUGAGAUUAGCUAGUUGGUAAGGUAAUGGCUUACCAAGGCGACGAUCUCUAGCUGUUCUGAGAGGAAGAUCAGCCACACUGGGACUGAGACACGGCCCAGACUCCUACGGGAGGCAGCAGUGGGGAAUAUUGCACAAUGGGGGGAACCCUGAUGCAGCCAUGCCGCGUGUGUGAAGAAGGCCUUCGGGUUGUAAAGCACUUUCAGUUGUGAGGAAAGGUUAGUAGUUAAUACCUGCUAGCUGUGACGUUAGCAACAGAAGAAGCACCGGCUAACUCCGUGCCAGCAGCCGCGGUAAUACGGAGGGUGCGAGCGUUAAUCGGAAUUACUGGGCGUAAAGCGCACGCAGGCGGUUUGUUAAGCUAG
RNAcentral lists this ribosomal RNA (530 nucleotides) under uncultured Gammaproteobacteria bacterium. RNAcentral describes it as "bacterial SSU rRNA". It matches the Rfam family "Bacterial small subunit ribosomal RNA", at positions 64 to 591 of the family's 1533-position model. Lineage: Bacteria; Pseudomonadati; Pseudomonadota; Gammaproteobacteria. The record is from RNAcentral.